UGGGGAAUUUUGGACAAUGGGGGAAACCCUGAUCCAGCCAUCCCGCGUGUGCGAUGAAGGCCUUCGGGUUGUAAAGCACUUUUGGCAGGAAAGAAACGUCAUGGGUUAAUACCCCGUGAAACUGACGGUACCUGCAGAAUAAGCACCGGCUAACUACGUGCCAGCAGCCGCGGUAAUACGUAGGGUGCAAGCGUUAAUCGGAAUUACUGGGCGUAAAGCGUGCGCAGGCGGUUCGGGAAGAAAGAUGUGAAAUCCCAGAGCUCAACUUUGGAACUGCAUUUUUAGCGGCCGGGCUAGAGUGUGUCAGAGGGAGGUGGAAUUCCGCGUGUAGCAGUGAAAUGCGUAGAUAUGCGGAGGAACACCGAUGGCGAAGGCAGCCUCCUGGGAUAAAACUGACGCUCAUGCACGAAAGCGUGGGGAGCAAACAGG
RNAcentral lists this ribosomal RNA (429 nucleotides) under Acidobacteriota bacterium. RNAcentral describes it as "Acidobacteria bacterium partial 16S ribosomal RNA". It matches the Rfam family "Bacterial small subunit ribosomal RNA", at positions 355 to 776 of the family's 1533-position model. The record is from RNAcentral. Lineage: Bacteria; Pseudomonadati; Acidobacteriota.